This 253-nucleotide ribosomal RNA is filed under the name uncultured bacterium. RNAcentral describes it as "partial 16S ribosomal RNA". It matches the Rfam family "Bacterial small subunit ribosomal RNA", at positions 524 to 776 of the family's 1533-position model. The record is from RNAcentral.
UACAGAGGGGGCUAGCGUUGCUCGGAAUCACUGGGCGUAAAGCGCACGUAGGCGGAUUGUUAAGUCAGGGGUGAAAUCCUGGAGCUCAACUCCAGAACUGCCUUUGAUACUGGCGAUCUCGAGUCCGGGAGAGGUGAGUGGAACUGCGAGUGUAGAGGUGAAAUUCGUAGAUAUUCGCAAGAACACCGGUGGCGAAGGCGGCCUGCUGGGCAGUUGCUGACACUGAGGCGCGACAGCGUGGGGAGCAAACAGG